RNAcentral lists this ribosomal RNA (253 nucleotides) under uncultured bacterium. RNAcentral's name for it is "partial 16S ribosomal RNA". It matches the Rfam family "Bacterial small subunit ribosomal RNA", at positions 524 to 776 of the family's 1533-position model. The record is from RNAcentral.
UACGGAGGGGGUUAGCGUUGUUCGGAAUUACUGGGCGUAAAGCGCAUGUAGGCGGAUCAGGAAGUCGGGGGUGAAAUCCCGGGGCUCAACCCCGGAACGGCCUUCGAAACUCCUGGUCUUGAGGUCGAGAGAGGUGAGUGGAAUUCCGAGUGUAGAGGUGAAAUUCGUAGAUAUUCGGAGGAACACCAGUGGCGAAGGCGGCUCACUGGCUCGAUACUGACGCUGAGAUGCGAAAGCGUGGGGAGCAAACAGG